CUGGAUUUAGAGUUAGUUUUUUCUAGAAAAUGGCCAAAGAAUGCUGAAAUGGGUGAAGACUCUUCGGUGGCCGACGAUGGAAAGAGUCAAGUGUUGCGUGUUGGUUCCUCUUUGUAGGUGGCAGAGAUGUCAGAUGGCCAUGACAGAAGGUAGUGCGACGCGCCUAGGGCAUUAGGUUUCUUUCUCUGGUUGAAAAUGUUUAGGUAGUGAGCUUAUUGGGCCAUUAGGGUUUUUUUUUUUUUAUUUUUUGGGUCAAUGGCCAUUAGGAAAUUGGGUUGUUUUUAGUCUGGGCUGUUCGGGUUUUGGGCCUGUUGUAAAAAUUUGGAUUGCUUAAUUUUAUUAAAAGUUGGGGUAAAAUUGGGCUAUCAUAAUUAUAAUCUCCAAAUUAGACAUACAUUUUUUUUUUGACAUCCUAUCUUCAAUAAAGAGAAAGAUAUUUUUUUUAAA
Molecule: long non-coding RNA, 447 nt
Organism: Gossypium arboreum
Lineage: Eukaryota; Viridiplantae; Streptophyta; Magnoliopsida; Malvales; Malvaceae
Exons: 2
Source: RefSeq, a predicted model, not a curated record